AACUGGAUGGCCUAGUGGUAAAGGCAUCACAUUGAUAUUGUGUCUUGGCUUCCAUGCUGAGGUCCCAGGUUUGAAUCCUGGUUUAGUCA
Molecule: non-coding RNA, 89 nt
Organism: Cronartium quercuum f. sp. fusiforme G11
Lineage: Eukaryota; Fungi; Basidiomycota; Pucciniomycetes; Pucciniales; Coleosporiaceae
Source: the annotation of a GenBank genome assembly